GCCGUCGUAGCACAAUGGUAGUGCGUUGCUUUCCUAUGUUCCUGUUGGGUGCGAGGCAGAGGCUGUGGGUUCGAGUCCCACCGUCGGUU
Hypholoma sublateritium FD-334 SS-4 is the source of this 89-nucleotide transfer RNA. It matches the Rfam family "tRNA". From Rfam's summary of the family: Transfer RNA (tRNA) molecules are approximately 80 nucleotides in length. Their secondary structure includes four short double-helical elements and three loops (D, anti-codon, and T loops). Further hydrogen bonds mediate the characteristic L-shaped molecular structure. tRNAs have two regions of fundamental functional importance: the anti-codon, which is responsible for specific mRNA codon recognition, and the 3' end, to which the tRNAs corresponding amino acid is attached (by aminoacyl-tRNA synthetases). tRNAs cope with the degeneracy of the genetic code in two manners: having more than one tRNA (with a specific anti-codon) for a particular amino acid; and 'wobble' base-pairing, i.e. permitting non-standard base-pairing at the 3rd anti-codon position. NCBI's taxonomy places the organism in Eukaryota, Fungi, Basidiomycota, Agaricomycetes, Agaricales, Strophariaceae. The record is from Rfam.